UAGAAGUUUUUGAUUUCUGCUCAGAUUGAACGCUGGCGGCAGGCCUAACACAUGCAAGUCGAGCGGAUGAAGGGAGCUUGCUCCUGGAUUCAGCGGCGGACGGGUGAGUAAUGCCUAGGAAUCUGCCUGGUAGUGGGGGAUAACGUCCGGAAACGGGCGCUAAUACCGCAUACGUCCUGAGGGAGAAAGUGGGGGAUCUUCGGACCUCACGCUAUCAGAUGAGCCUAGGUCGGAUUAGCUAGUUGGUGGGGUAAAGGCCUACCAAGGCGACGAUCCGUAACUGGUCUGAGAGGAUGAUCAGUCACACUGGAACUGAGACACGGUCCAGACUCCUACGGGAGGCAGCAGUGGGGAAUAUUGGACAAUGGGCGAAAGCCUGAUCCAGCCAUGCCGCGUGUGUGAAGAAGGUCUUCGGAUUGUAAAGCACUUUAAGUUGGGAGGAAGGGCAGUAAGUUAAUACCUUGCUGUUUUGACGUUACCAACAGAAUAAGCACCGGCUAACUUCGUGCCAGCAGCCGCGGUAAUACGAAGGGUGCAAGCGUUAAUCGGAAUUACUGGGCGUAAAGCGCGCGUAGGUGGUUCAGCAAGUUGGAUGUGAAAUCCCCGGGCUCAACCUGGGAACUGCAUCCAAAACUACUGAGCUAGAGUACGGUAGAGGGUGGUGGAAUUUCCUGUGUAGCGGUGAAAUGCGUAGAUAUAGGAAGGAACACCAGUGGCGAAGGCGACCACCUGGACUGAUACUGACACUGAGGUGCGAAAGCGUGGGGAGCAAACAGGAUUAGAUACCCUGGUAGUCCACGCCGUAAACGAUGUCGACUAGCCGUUGGGAUCCUUGAGAUCUUAGUGGCGCAGCUAACGCGAUAAGUCGCCACGGCCUGCGGUUAGCCGCAAUCC
This 894-nucleotide ribosomal RNA is filed under the name Pseudomonas aeruginosa. RNAcentral's name for it is "bacterial SSU rRNA". It matches the Rfam family "Bacterial small subunit ribosomal RNA", at positions 9 to 873 of the family's 1533-position model. Lineage: Bacteria; Pseudomonadati; Pseudomonadota; Gammaproteobacteria; Pseudomonadales; Pseudomonadaceae. The record is from RNAcentral.